CGAAGGGGUACCUGCGGAAGAUCAUUAACGAGUCUUGAAAUGGGUUGUAGCUUGGCCUCAACCAGGCAUGUGCUCGCCCUGCUCAAAUCCACUCUACACCUGUGCACUUACUGUGGGUUUGGUAUUUGGGGGGCCUGGUUUUACUUCGGUCUCUUGAGCCAAGCUCACGUUUUAUUACAAACAACCGUAGUAUCAGAAUGUAUACCGUGAUGUAACACAUCUAUAUACAACUUUCAGCAACGGAUCUCUUGGCUCUCGCAUCGAUGAAGAACGCAGCAAAAUGCGAUAAGUAAUGUGAAUUGCAGAAUUCAGUGAAUCAUCGAAUCUUUGAACGCACCUUGCGCUCCUUGGUAUUCCGAGGAGCACACCUGUUUGAGUGUCGUGAAAUUCUCAACCUAACUGCCUUUGUCGGUUUUGUUAGGCUUGGAUAAUGGAGGCUUGCCGGCUACGUGAUGUGUCGGCUCCUCUCAAAUGCAUUAGCUUGGUUCCUUGUGGAUCAGCUCUCGGUGUGAUAAUUGUCUAUACCGUGACUGUGAAACAUUUGGCAAGCUUCUAACUGUCUCUUAAAGGAGACACUUCAUAUUUGACAUCUGACCUCAAAUCAGGUGGGACUACCCGCUGAACUUAA
Molecule: ribosomal RNA, 628 nt
Rfam family: 5.8S ribosomal RNA (bases 229-382)